Molecule: non-coding RNA, 22 nt
Filed under: Rattus norvegicus (Norway rat)
Lineage: Eukaryota; Metazoa; Chordata; Mammalia; Rodentia; Muridae
Source: RNAcentral
UAAAACAGUGAAUGCUCUGCUC